Molecule: unclassified non-coding RNA, 332 nt
Filed under: soil metagenome
Description: partial contains 5.8S ribosomal RNA, internal transcribed spacer 2, and large subunit ribosomal RNA
Rfam family: 5.8S ribosomal RNA (bases 1-120)
Source: RNAcentral
GAUGAAGAACGCAGCGAAAUGCGAUAAGUAAUGCGAAUUGCAGAAUUCAGUGAGUCAUCGAAUCUUUGAACGCACAUUGCGCCCUUUGGUAUUCCUUAGGGCAUGCCUGUUCGAGCGUCAUUUAAACCUUCAAGCUAAGCUUGGUGUUGGGUGACUGUCCGCUUCACGGCGGACUCGCCUCAAAAUUAUUGGCGGCCGGUACAUUGGCUUCGAGCGCAGCAGAAACGCGAACUCGGGCCCGUCGUAUUGGCUCCCAGAAGCUAUCUUCACAAUUUUGACCUCGGAUCAGGUAGGGAUACCCGCUGAACUUAAGCAUAUCAAUAAGCGGAGGA